GAAUAAGAAGCGAUUAAUUGCAGUUAGUUUCGACCUAACCUUAGGUAACUUUACCCUUAUUCU
RNAcentral lists this transfer RNA (63 nucleotides) under Neonemura barrosi. RNAcentral describes it as "tRNA-Arg". Lineage: Eukaryota; Metazoa; Arthropoda; Insecta; Plecoptera; Notonemouridae. The record is from RNAcentral.